RNAcentral lists this ribosomal RNA (253 nucleotides) under uncultured bacterium. RNAcentral describes it as "partial 16S ribosomal RNA". It matches the Rfam family "Bacterial small subunit ribosomal RNA", at positions 524 to 776 of the family's 1533-position model. The record is from RNAcentral.
UACGUAUGGUGCAGGCGUUAUCCGGAUUUACUGGGCGUAAAGGGAGCGCAGGCGGCGCGCCAAGUCUGAUGUGAAACCCCGGGGCUCAACCCCGGGCAUGCAUUGGAAACUGGCGGGCUGGAGUGCCGGAGAGGUAAGCAGAAUUCCUAGUGUAGCGGUGAAAUGCGUAGAUAUUAGGAGGAACACCAGUGGCGAAGGCGGCUUACUGGACGGCAACUGACGCUGAGGCUCGAAAGCGUGGGGAGCAAACAGG